RNAcentral lists this ribosomal RNA (252 nucleotides) under uncultured bacterium. RNAcentral's name for it is "partial 16S ribosomal RNA". It matches the Rfam family "Bacterial small subunit ribosomal RNA", at positions 524 to 776 of the family's 1533-position model. The record is from RNAcentral.
UACGUAGGGUGCAAGCGUUAAUCGGAAUUACUGGGCGUAAAGCGUGCGCAGGCGGUUAUGUAAGACAGAUGUGAAAUCCCCGGGCUCAACCUGGGAACUGCAUUUGUGACUGCAUAGCUAGGAUGCGGAAGAGGGAAGUGGAAUUUCCGGUGUAGCGGUGAAAUGCGUAGAUAUCGGAAGGAACAUCAGUGGCGAAAGCGACUUCCUGGUCCAGCAUCGACGUCAGGCACGAAAGCGUGGGGAGCAAACAGG